Molecule: ribosomal RNA, 495 nt
Filed under: uncultured bacterium
Lineage: Bacteria
Description: partial 16S ribosomal RNA
Rfam family: Bacterial small subunit ribosomal RNA
Source: RNAcentral
GAUGAACGCUGGCGGCGUGCCUAAUACAUGCAAGUAGAACGCUGAAGGAGGAGCUUGCUCUUCUGGAUGAGUUGCGAACGGGUGAGUAACGCGUAGGUAACCUGCCUGGUAGCGGGGGAUAACUAUUGGAAACGAUAGCUAAUACCGCAUGACAACAGUUAUUGCAUGAUAACUGUUUAAAAGGGGCAACUGCUCCACUACCAGAUGGACCUGCGUUGUAUUAGCUAGUUGGUGAGGUAACGGCUCACCAAGGCGACGAUACAUAGACGACCUGAGAGGGGGCACGGCCACACUGGGACUGAGACACGGCCCAGACUCCUACGGGAGGCAGCAGUAGGGAAUCUUCGGCAAUGGACGGAAGUCUGACCGAGCAACGCCGCGUGAGUGAAGAAGGUUUUCGGAUCGUAAAGCUCUGUUGUAAGAGAAGAACGAGUGUGAGAGUGGAAAGUUCACACUGUGACGGUAUCUUACCAGAAAGGGACGGCUAACUACGUG